UACGAGGGGGGCAAGCGUUGUUCGGAAUUAUUGGGCGUAAAGGGAGCGUAGGCGGGCUACCAAGUCUGGGGUGAAAUGCCGCGGCUCAACCGUGGAACUGCCUUAGAUACUGACGGCCUCGAGGGAGAUAGGGGCAUGCGGAACUGUAGGUGGAGCGGUGAAAUGCGUUGAUAUCUACAGGAACUCCGGUGGCGAAAGCGGCGUGCUGGAUCUCUUCUGACGCUGAGGCUCGAAAGCUAGGGGAGCAAGCGGG
This 253-nucleotide ribosomal RNA is filed under the name uncultured bacterium. RNAcentral describes it as "partial 16S ribosomal RNA". It matches the Rfam family "Bacterial small subunit ribosomal RNA", at positions 524 to 776 of the family's 1533-position model. The record is from RNAcentral.